This 96-nucleotide microRNA precursor is filed under the name Camelus bactrianus (Bactrian camel). RNAcentral describes it as "mir-544 microRNA precursor family". It matches the Rfam family "mir-544 microRNA precursor family". The record is from Rfam by way of RNAcentral. Lineage: Eukaryota; Metazoa; Chordata; Mammalia; Artiodactyla; Camelidae. RNAcentral also lists the same sequence under 1 other name.
AUUUCCUGGGGAUCUUGUUAAAAUGUAAGUUCUGAUUCAGUAAGUCUGAGGUGGCCCAAGAUUCUGCAUUUUUAACAAGUUCCCAGAUGAUGCCAA